RNAcentral lists this long non-coding RNA (677 nucleotides) under Medicago truncatula (barrel medic). RNAcentral's name for it is "lncRNA gene11647". Lineage: Eukaryota; Viridiplantae; Streptophyta; Magnoliopsida; Fabales; Fabaceae. The record is from RNAcentral.
GCUUAACCCACUUCGACUCCCUACGACUCUCACUCUUUGUGAUCUACUCCUGCUUCUCUCCCACUUUCUCUGUGACUGCCACCCGUCUCUGAACCAUUCUUCCCUUCGCCGGAACCAACUCCAAUCUCUUUUCUUUUUCCGGCGACCUUUCUCUUUACGGAGCCAGAAUCUAGGAAGAAUGAAAAUAGCUGAAAAUAGAGAUAUUUGAAUGGAUUAAAUUUGCGAUUGCUAUUGCUUUUCAAUAUCAGUUGAGUCCUCUUCUUUUUAGCUUUGGUGUGGUGUUUUUGCUUGUUUUCCCUUCUGUUUAUAUCUUAGAAACGAAUUGCGGUGGUAUCUGAUGUGUUUUUUCAUUGAUAUAUUUGCAUUUGCUUUUCAAAGAAUUGCUUAUUAAAGAUUUUUUUUUUUUGAGGGAUAGAGACGAAUUACUUAUUAUAAUACUUUUGCCAUGGAUUAUGUACACAUGUCAAUGAAUUUUGCUUAGUAUGGUAAUUAUUUUAUAUUUUGCCAUAAACAAUUAAUAAUGUAACAUUUUUAAAUUUCCCGUAAAAAAAUUUAAUAAUGUAACUUUUUUUAAAAAAAUGAAUUUGUUUUACAAGGAAAAUUUUGUCAUUAGAUGUAUAUUUUAUCAUGUCAAUAUUAAUAUGAAGUGUGUAUCUAAACAUGAAAGGAUAAAAUAA